Sarcophilus harrisii (Tasmanian devil) is the source of this 974-nucleotide long non-coding RNA. RefSeq lists it as uncharacterized. The record is from RefSeq and is a predicted model, not a curated record. The transcript is spliced from 3 exons. Lineage: Eukaryota; Metazoa; Chordata; Mammalia; Dasyuromorphia; Dasyuridae.
CCUUAACCCUCCCUGGACCAGAAAUAUCCCUGAAAGAACUUCUGCAGGUGCUGACAAUUCCCUGUCCUUAGAAGGAACAUUUCUUUGUCAACUUGGUGUUUGAGGAAGAUAUGACCCAAGGAAGACUGCAUCUGAUUAAAUAAAAUCAUCAUCUUCUCCAGAAGUUGAAAAUGAUCUUAAAAAUCAGCUGAUUUGGACCCUUUGCACAGGACUGGAUCUAUGACAAGAACAAAGGUCAUCUGACUUCUAAAUCAGUGCUCCAUCUCUUCCAAAUGCUACAAAUAUUCCUUGAGCAUCUCCUAUGAGAUCAGCACUAAUAAUAGGUGCUAUGAAGAGCUGUAUCCCCAAGGAGCUUAUAUCAUAAGAUCAUGUAUUUAGAACUAGAAUUCAGAAUCUAUGACAUGAUUCUGGUACCAAGUCAAUCAUGUCAACUGGUUCCCAGAGUUUUUUUCUCCUUUCAGGGAUCUGAACAGAAUUUGGAAUCAUGUAUCUUGUUUCUCAAGGACCAAGAACUCUCUUUUCCCAAACUCUGGCCAACUCAGCUCAUCCUGCAGAUGAACAAACUAAGUCCUGGAGAUCAUAAGAGAAACAUUCACGGUCAUGGAGGGAAUGUCAGCACCUGGCUUCUGAGUUCUGAUUCACUGCUGUUCCCAUUAAACUCCAUUGCUCUCCACUAGGGGUACUGUUUGUUCAGCAUCUCUGGCUCUCAAUGAAGCUCUUGUCUUUCCCACUCUGAUUAUGGGAGGGGGUUUUCUGAAACCGAAACAGGAAAAUUUUAUGUUGGACAAAGGUACUUUCUUGACAAGGUUAAUUAGUCCUAAAUCUUGUCUGGUGGAUGGAGAAGGUAGGCUGGGCAUUCAUCUUUGAGUAGAUGCCUCUUGGUUUGUUGCUGUCUAGACUAGAGACAAUGAGAUGAACAAGAAGGGGCAGUUAGGUGACAUAGUGAAUAGACCUGGAGUCAGGAAAACCUGAGU